GAUGAAUCAACCGUGCAAGAACAGUUCCUAUAAAUGGAUCAACACUUUCAUAACGGAUGCAGCAACAAUAUGAACGCGACGCCGUUAAACGAUACAACCGAAGAGAAUGUAAUCGACAUCGUCGAGCGAGAUGAAAACCUGGCAAAAAUUGAAAUUGCCACUUUAGCUAUUAUAUUUCUCGUAACCAUUAUUGGCAACGGUACGGUACUGUUAGCUUUAUGGACAAGAAGACGAUACGCCGGAAGGAAAAAGCUUUCAAGAAUGUAUUUUUUCAUUUUGCAUCUAAGUGUAGCCGAUUUAAUAACCGCGUUUUUAAGCGUUUUACCACAAUUAAUAUGGGAAGUAACGUUCAGAUUUCGGGGUGGAUUUAUUCUGUGCAAAUUAGUGAAAUUCGGACAAACUUUAGGACCAUAUUUAAGCUCGUAUAUCUUGGUAGCAACGGCUAUAGAUAGACAUCAAGCGAUUUGUUAUCCGUUAACUUAUUGUUCGUGGACAUCGAGGAGAUCAAAAGCUAUGGUAUGGAUUGCGUGGGGAGUUAGCUUAUCAUUUUGUAUUCCACAGAUAGAAAUAUUUACUUAUCAAGAAGUUGAAGUGGGAACUUGGGAUUGUUGGGCUACGUUUUCUGAAAAUUGGGGUGAAAGAGCUUACGUAACAUGGUAUAGCAUAUCUGUCUUCAUAGUUCCACUAAUAGUACUAAUAGUGACGUACACGUCGAUUUGUCGUGAAAUAUGGCAAAGCUCAGUCGGGGAAUUAAGUACAAGACCUAGACAAGCAUCUACUAGAUCUCCGGAAACGAGAGUCCCAUUGAUUUCAAGGGCUAAAAUAAACACCGUCAAGCAAACGAUCGCGGUCAUAGUAAUGUACGUGAUUUGUUCCACACCGUUUAUCUUUGCACUGUUAUGGGCAACAUGGGAUCCUCAUGCAGCAGAUAUCCCCUUCUUUAAAGGUCCUGAAUUCACGAUUCUAACCCUACUCUACAGUUUGAAUAGUUGUGUGAAUCCGUGGAUUUAUUUGGCUUUCAACAGGGAGUUACCUCGGUUACUUUUAAGACAUUAUACAGUGUCAAGUAAUAAUUAUAGAACUACAGCGGAUUUAUAACCUUUGUUUGUCCAAGUAUCUCUUAUUAUCAACAAUAAAAAAAUAACAGUUUUAUAUUAUCAAAGACUAUCCAGGAAGUAUCGCCUAAACCAUCAUCUUUUAUGACUACAAUCAAACGAAAAAGAACAUCCGGUAACAGCACGAGUAACUCUUCUGGUGGUUUUGAUACCGCUUCUUUACGUCCGUUAUCGAGGUGGUCAAUCUGUAACAAUGCGAG
Molecule: unclassified non-coding RNA, 1315 nt
Filed under: Onthophagus taurus
Lineage: Eukaryota; Metazoa; Arthropoda; Insecta; Coleoptera; Scarabaeidae
Description: isotocin receptor-like, transcript variant X1
Source: RNAcentral